This 398-nucleotide ribosomal RNA is filed under the name uncultured bacterium. RNAcentral's name for it is "bacterial SSU rRNA". It matches the Rfam family "Bacterial small subunit ribosomal RNA", at positions 357 to 772 of the family's 1533-position model. The record is from RNAcentral.
GGGAAUCUUGGACAAUGGGCGCAAGCCUGAUCCAGCCAUGCCGCGUGAGUGAAGAAGGCCUUAGGGUUGUAAAACUCUUUCGCCGGAGAAGAUAAUGACGGUAUCCGGAGAAGAAGCCCCGGCUAACUUCGUGCCAGCAGCCGCGGUAAUACGAAGGGGGCUAGCGUUGUUCGGAAUUACUGGGCGUAAAGCGCACGUAGGCGGGUUUGUAAGUAGAGGGUGAAAUCCCAGGGCUCAACCCUGGAACUGCCUUCUAAACUGCAAGCCUGGAGGUCAGGAGAGGCGAGUGGAAUACCGAGUGUAGAGGUGAAAUUCGUAGAUAUUCGGUGGAACACCAGUGGCGAAGGCGACUCGCUGGACUGAUACUGACGCUGAGGUGCGAAAGCGUGGGGAGCAAA